UGCACAAGACUUCCCUGGGUCUUUAGAAAGUGUUACCCCUUAUUUCAAACUCCAUAAAUGCAAAUCGACUGGCCAACUGACCUAGAGUUCCACACCCCUUAUCUAGAAAGCUGAGGGACAUGUUUGAGCAUAUAUGGGAAUCCUGUUGCACUCCACAGCUCCCACUGCCAUCCCCCCAGUUACAGGCCACUUGGUUAUGAUGAUCGGUCCAGACUAAGUUUUGUGGAUGAUGGAUGAUGAUGGCUGCAUGAAAGCCCUUAAGCCCCUCUUGAGUUCGAGACCACAGCUGUUAGGAAUGAUGCUAAGGCUCAAAUCCAUGCAAAGAUCAAGUAUCUUUUCUUCCUCCGAAUUCUCUCUUUCCUUUGCUUAGAAAAUGAUCUAUUCUUCUAUGAAAGGCGGCAGUAAUGCAUUCUACCAAACAUGCUUUAUGAAUUUUUUAUCUGAACUUUCACAGUCUCUAACACUGACAGAAAGCCUUUGUUAUUCUUUCUCACGUCUAGGCCAAGUCAGUCCUAAAAUUGAUCGACACGAGCCCUCAGAACAAAAGGAGAGGACGGUGUGCACACUGAGUGGUAACUUGACAUUUUCUAUUCAUGAUUCAUAUGAUCAACCUCUAUUGAGCCUUUAUUAGGCAAUAAGGAUACACGUUUUAAAAAAUGAGAUAGACCUCAUCUUCAAGGAUCUUACAUUCUGCUGAGGAUAUAAAACAGAUUCUCAGGAGAGUAAAGGAUAUAAUUAAAACAACAACAACAAAGUGAUGACGGGAAAGGAAGAGAGAGAAUAUUGGGAAAAACAAAGGCUCAAAAAAGAGCGGCACUUGAGCCUCGAAGGGAUUUAGGAGCUCCAAUAACCAAAGGUGAGGCAUGAAGGGGGAAAUAGCGAUGAAUGGGAGAACCACCAGCAGGUCAGUU
Molecule: long non-coding RNA, 911 nt
Filed under: Sarcophilus harrisii (Tasmanian devil)
Lineage: Eukaryota; Metazoa; Chordata; Mammalia; Dasyuromorphia; Dasyuridae
Description: lncRNA (ENSSHAG00000024131.1)
Source: RNAcentral